Chionomys nivalis (European snow vole) is the source of this 1011-nucleotide RNA transcript. It is a transcript of the gene named TINCR ubiquitin domain containing, with no coding region annotated. NCBI's taxonomy places the organism in Eukaryota, Metazoa, Chordata, Mammalia, Rodentia, Cricetidae. The transcript is spliced from 3 exons. The record is from RefSeq and is a predicted model, not a curated record.
UGGCAGGAGCUGGCCUGCGGAGUCUCAGGCUGUCGGCGGCCAUGGAGGGGCUGCGUCGCGGGCUGUCGCGCUGGAAGCGCUACCACAUCAAGGUGCACUUGGCCGACGAGGCGUUGCUGCUGCCACUGACCGUGCGGCCCCGCGACACGCUGAGCGACCUGCGCGCGCAGCUGGUGGGCCAGGGCGUGAGCUCGUGGCGCAGAACCUUCUACUACAACGCUAGGCCUCUGCCAGACCACCAGACGGUGCGCGAGGCGCGCCUACAGGACGGCUCGGUCCUGCUGCUGCUCAGCGACCCCAGGUAACUGGGUCUGGAGGAGUUGGAGCCAUGAUUUUUGGGACGCAAGCUGGCUGAAGGAGCAAACUGGGCCGGGGGCGGCACACUUCUUUCUUCCUGGGAGCCCAGCCUUAUUCCAGAUCCAGGUGCUGGGCUCCCAGGUAGAUGUCACACCUGGAUCACACCUGGACCCAACUGAUGCCCACUGCCUCCCAGAUGCUGUCCAGUCCUCCAGCAAGGAGUCUUACGGUUUCUCCAUGGCCUUGGGACCACUCCCUCCCCUGGGAGCCUCCACCACCUGAAUCUUCGGCUGUGCCCUCAUCCAAGAAGCCCUCCAUCAACAGGCACAGUUCCUUCUUUGGUGACCCACAGGGCUCCAGCUGAGAACGGUUCUGGCUACAGGAGGAUCUGCUGGGGCCAUGACCAAGCAGACUCUGAUCUGAGGGGACAUGAGCCUACGCAUUGCAUAGUGAUCUGCCACGGACUGUGGAUGCUCUCCUCUGCAGCCCAGUGUUGGGGUGCUGUGCUGAGCCUUCGGGAGGCCCCCCCAUGCUGUGGACUACAUGGUGGGCCCAGAAGGCAAUACGUCCUAAUUAAGAGUUGUACAGGCCUCAGGGUGCGGAGGUGGGGGCUGAAUCUUAGCCUUGGGGAGCUGGGCUACUGGGCAUGCACAAGUGUGCCGAGGCCUCGGGGGUCUCUUCCUCUCCGCCCCCCCACCGUCUCCUUUGCUCAGC